Non-coding RNA from Phalacrocorax carbo (great cormorant), 3532 nucleotides. Lineage: Eukaryota; Metazoa; Chordata; Aves; Suliformes; Phalacrocoracidae. The record is from RefSeq and is a predicted model, not a curated record.
CAACCUAAAAACCAGCCAACAACAAACCGCCCCAGAGCGUACAGCGAGCCCUGACCGGAGGGAGCUGCGGCGCAACUCCCCCGCCAGCCAGAACCCGCGGGUACCCAACAGGCGCCUCCCCGCGCCCGCUCUGUCAGCUGUGCGGGGCAGCCUCGCGGCUCCCUCACGAAGAGGGGGCUGGAGAGGCUGCCGCUGCGGUGGAGAAAGGGGAGGGAAAGGGAGGCGGUAGACGAGCUGCCGCCGCCCGCCUCCGGGCCACCCCCCCCCGCCCCCCGGCCCAAGGCGAUCCCCCCGCCCUGAGGCAGGGCGGCCGCGCUCCCCUCGCACGCGCUGCCGCCCCGCUCACCCGCCUCCGGCAGCGCCCUGCCGGCAUCGACAGCAACCCCCUGCCUGAGGAAAGGCGAGGGGCGCAGCCGCCAUUUACCCAGCAAGCUCCAGUUAACAGUCACUCAAUUGAGAAGACCACAGGAGACCAUUCCAAGAUGAAAGAAGCAUCUAUAACUGCCACUAAAAUCAAGACCUUGAAAUGCAUCUCAAGGAAGAUCCAGCUGCAGUGCUGUAGUGGGACCAGGGAGCACCACUUAUCAGGUUUCUCUACAGCGCACCACCAAAGCGAGAGAACGGCUACACUGUGCCCAGAAGUGUUUCCAAGUCGUCUUCCAUUGUGUCUUCUAAUAGGGCACUCUACAGCAGCUGAUACAGAGGUGACUGAAUACAACUUGUUUUAGCAAGAUGAGAUAAUGGAGAUGUGAAGAGACUAAAAUGAUCUGGAUGGUGGUCACAGAAGAAACCUGCAAUUACGCUCAGAAUCAGCAAUAUUUGCAUCCUUCAGUCCAGAAACUGACGCAGCCAGAUGUCAUUUUGUACUAAGUUCAGGCAUUUACUAAAAGGUAGUUUAGCUUCUCUCCAAAUAAAAAAAUCAAACUAUAAGUAAUGAUAUGCUGGUUUUUAUCUUGUAGCUCACAUGUAGCUCAUGAUUCUUAGCUCACAGUAUUUGAUGAAGGAUUGUCUUUGUUCUGCUUGCACAGCUCCAAACGUAACAGUGUCUGAAUCGAACACUGGGGCUCCUGGGUUAGUGAAAACCAGGAAUAUUUGGAGCUGGAUCAAUCCCAUGCUGUAUUUACCUAGGGCGUACCACAACUGAAUGCCUGGUCUUGCUAAGAAUAGGAUAGACAUAAAAAAUAGAAAAUCUAGAAUGAUGUUACGGUUCUUAAAAGAAAAAAAAUGUUCAGAUGUGACGAUACAACUACAGAACAUCUUCCGCUGAUGCGAGGUGCAGUAAAUUACAAGUUGGAAGUAUCAAAGGCAGUGUUAUAAUGGGGAGAGCUGUCAGCAAACAGGCAUGGAACAGUGAAAGAUGAAAUAGCCUUUCUCAAGUCAUGCAGCCUCCUAGAAGCUUCCCAUCCAGUGUGAUACAGAUUACACUGAAGGUCUGAUGAGACCAGUAUUUUUGUGUAUGUGUGGUGUCGGGUUAUUUUUAAUACUUCCUACAAUGGGAACAAAUGGUACCAGGUUCCAGAAGCACUACUUGGCACGCUUAUUACAAACAUCUAUUUAAUUAAAAAAUUCUCAGCUUCUGUAAGAAGUCACAAAGCCACCCAACCUGCCUCUAAAAAACAAAGUUACCCAAUGACAACAUAUGCCUCAGCAUCUGGAGAUUACCGUGCAACAUACGCAUCAAACCUUGUUUGCAAAGACUGAGAGAGGUAGUAGCUUGCUUUUGGCCCACCUGCUACAUUGUUAGAUUAUUAUCCUUGAAACACACUGAAUGAUUAUGUAGAGAUAACUUCAUGCUUGACCAAGUAUACAAUGCAAUUAACAUUUUAAAGCCAUUUGGUACAUGUCUAAUCUUAACUGCUGUCUUCAUAUUUACUCCUGUUCCCGUAUUUACUGAUAUUAAUUUAUUUGUUUUUGCCUUGUCUUAUCCUAAGCUAUCAAAUCUCUCCUUUCUUGUCAGCAUACAUCAUCAGCCAGCUCAUCAUCAUCAUCGGCUCAGGUAGUAGGCACACUGGUAGAAGCAAAGGGUGGGCUAGACUUGGUUGUAAAUAUCACUAUGAUGGUGGGCUUGGCAGUGUUUGUUUACGGUUGGACUCAAUCUUAAAGGUCUUUGCCAACCUAAGUGAUUCUAUGAAAUGGAAACGUUAUCCAUAAACGUUUAUCAUGUGCUAAUAAUUCUGUACCAGAUUCUGUGAGAGACAGAGAAUGGAGAGAUUUGGACCUAACACUCUCCAAAGGCCUUUGUGCUCAGCACAGUUGAAAUAUUCUUAUCUGUGUCACACACCUGACACAGCCAGAAGUGCCCCUGAACCUCCAAGAAAGACCCUUUGGUUAGUAUUGUGCUAGAUAAAGCAAGAGCUAAAGAUGAUAGAAGUUCUCCUCGUGCUCAAGAGCUGAAAGGGAUACUUUGAUUACAGCAACAAUGGGAUAGUGGCAGUGCUGAUGUUUGUACAGCCAAACGAGGCAGAAGGGGCUUCUCCUGUUGCCACACAUGGCACAGACCCAGUCUAGCUGUCAACCUUUGGCUUUCGUUCUCUCCCAGUCUCCUCACAUCUCAGCUGUUUUGCCUUUCACAUGCAUGAAAUCAUGGAUGCUUUCCAAGAGAGAUGCUGAGGGCAUAAAACAGUUGUGACCCCCAAGUUUCUGGAAUGAAAAAAUGAAGAUCCUGAGGUAUCUCUGAGCAAUUUGCCUUUUCUCCUGACAUUUCUGCAUGUCCCAAUUGCUUCCCCUAAUUGAAGUUCUAUUUUUCCUGUUUGCAUCAUACACUUUUCGGUGCCCUGUGUGCUAAAGGGAACAGCACAAGUUCUCUGACAGGUAUGAUACAGCCUGACACUAAGUCGCAAUAAGACGUACGUGAUAAGAGAGCUCAACGUUUAUUUGGGAUGGGUGGUAUUUGUGUAGGGAGCUCUGCUAGUGUGCAGGGCACAGAGAGACCUUAAUGAAACAUGUAAAACCUUUGCACUUGUUUUGCCUCCAAAACAAGAGAACAUAUGGUCUGACUCUGAUUAAUGCACAAAAAUGUUAAGUAUCAUCUGUUUUAAAAGACAAAAGGUGGUUAAGAUUUAUAGGGAAGCUGGGUAACCCCAAACCUUUCAUCAAUAUCCCCUCUCUGUGGAAGUGAAUGGAACAGGCUUCCCCAUAUACAUGCACCACAGAGGGGACUGCCAUCCUGCACAGCCACAGGCACUUUAUGGCAGUAAUUGGCUAGUGGAAGUGAAGGAAUUAAUUUGUACACAUAUAAAUGCAGCAUUAGGAAUGUGCAGUAGCAUGCAGAGGAGUCAUUUCAAUUUUACUUGUUUAUGUACCUCCUGUAAAAAUAAUCAUUUAUGGUCAUUAUAAACCAGUAAAUCAGUAUAUUACUGCUGUCUCCUUUGGUCUAGUUUAUUUGGCAGCUGGGUUUGUUAGCCCUGUUAGGAACCAAGGUUGUCAGUCACCCCACUAUCCACAACUGAAAAGGACAUUAAAAAGAGGUGGAUGCAACACUGGGCUUGAAUACUUAAAGAGUAGUCGCCCAUCCCUCUAUCUGCAGGAGGCA